RNAcentral lists this ribosomal RNA (1436 nucleotides) under Lactiplantibacillus pentosus. Its description in RNAcentral is "bacterial SSU rRNA". It matches the Rfam family "Bacterial small subunit ribosomal RNA". The record is from RNAcentral. Lineage: Bacteria; Bacillati; Bacillota; Bacilli; Lactobacillales; Lactobacillaceae.
UGCAAGUCGAACGAACUCUGGUAUUGAUUGGUGCUUGCAUCAUGAUUUACAUUUGAGUGAGUGGCGAACUGGUGAGUAACACGUGGGAAACCUGCCCAGAAGCGGGGGAUAACACCUGGAAACAGAUGCUAAUACCGCAUAACAACUUGGACCGCAUGGUCCGAGUUUGAAAGAUGGCUUCGGCUAUCACUUUUGGAUGGUCCCGCGGCGUAUUAGCUAGAUGGUGGGGUAACGGCUCACCAUGGCAAUGAUACGUAGCCGACCUGAGAGGGUAAUCGGCCACAUUGGGACUGAGACACGGCCCAAACUCCUACGGGAGGCAGCAGUAGGGAAUCUUCCACAAUGGACGAAAGUCUGAUGGAGCAACGCCGCGUGAGUGAAGAAGGGUUUCGGCUCGUAAAACUCUGUUGUUAAAGAAGAACAUAUCUGAGAGUAACUGUUCAGGUAUUGACGGUAUUUAACCAGAAAGCCACGGCUAACUACGUGCCAGCAGCCGCGGUAAUACGUAGGUGGCAAGCGUUGUCCGGAUUUAUUGGGCGUAAAGCGAGCGCAGGCGGUUUUUUAAGUCUGAUGUGAAAGCCUUCGGCUCAACCGAAGAAGUGCAUCGGAAACUGGGAACUUGAGUGCAGAAGAGGACAGUGGAACUCCAUGUGUAGCGGUGAAAUGCGUAGAUAUAUGGAAGAACACCAGUGGCGAAGGCGGCUGUCUGGUCUGUAACUGACGCUGAGGCUCGAAAGUAUGGGUAGCAAACAGGAUUAGAUACCCUGGUAGUCCAUACCGUAAACGAUGAAUGCUAAGUGUUGGAGGGUUUCCGCCCUUCAGUGCUGCAGCUAACGCAUUAAGCAUUCCGCCUGGGGAGUACGGCCGCAAGGCUGAAACUCAAAGGAAUUGACGGGGGCCCGCACAAGCGGUGGAGCAUGUGGUUUAAUUCGAAGCUACGCGAAGAACCUUACCAGGUCUUGACAUACUAUGCAAAUCUAAGAGAUUAGACGUUCCCUUCGGGGACAUGGAUACAGGUGGUGCAUGGUUGUCGUCAGCUCGUGUCGUGAGAUGUUGGGUUAAGUCCCGCAACGAGCGCAACCCUUAUUAUCAGUUGCCAGCAUUAAGUUGGGCACUCUGGUGAGACUGCCGGUGACAAACCGGAGGAAGGUGGGGAUGACGUCAAAUCAUCAUGCCCCUUAUGACCUGGGCUACACACGUGCUACAAUGGAUGGUACAACGAGUUGCGAACUCGCGAGAGUAAGCUAAUCUCUUAAAGCCAUUCUCAGUUCGGAUUGUAGGCUGCAACUCGCCUACAUGAAGUCGGAAUCGCUAGUAAUCGCGGAUCAGCAUGCCGCGGUGAAUACGUUCCCGGGCCUUGUACACACCGCCCGUCACACCAUGAGAGUUUGUAACACCCAAAGUCGGUGGGGUAACCUUUUAGGAACCAGCCGCCU